GGCCGCACUCCGCCGCUGAGAUCGACACGGUGAUCGUCUCACCCCGGCCCCAGCCCUUCACAGGCGCGGGCCUCGAGCAGAGCGAAGUGGUGACAAUGCAAAAGGACUUAAUCCCAUAGGGCUCUGUGCAGAGGUCGAGCCCAGAAGAGGAGACGGAACAGGUGACGGUGACUUUGAUGGUGGAUGUGACUGAGGAGUGAGCGGAGCUGUACCAGCUGCUGUGUCCACGUGGGUCACCGAGGUGUCAUCGCAGGGCACCCGUGGUAACAGGCUGAACCACUGCCUGCUCUUCUCAGUCAAUUUUAUUGUGUAACUGUCCAGAAGAAAUGAAACACCGGAGGGAUUUUGAGAAGUCAGGAAAGACGAUAUAGAAGAAAAAAGAUAAAGAAGUUGAAAUGGUUCUAUUUAAUGCAUUUAAGAACUUGAUGACAAAACACCUGUGUCUGAGGGAGUGGGGGGAAAGGCAAAAAUCCUCACUUGGAAUCCUGGAUCACACACAGCUGCAGAGACAAGUUUCACAAGCAAGUCCUGUACUUCUCCCAUGCUGUCCCCUAUGUUGAGCAAAC
Molecule: long non-coding RNA, 566 nt
Organism: Corvus hawaiiensis (hawaiian crow)
Lineage: Eukaryota; Metazoa; Chordata; Aves; Passeriformes; Corvidae
Exons: 4
Source: RefSeq, a predicted model, not a curated record